CAACGGCUAACCUAGGAACCUUCCAUUAUAUAAUGUCAUAGGCUAUCAUAAGAUCUGUUCUGGUGAAGAGGUUGAGCUCACCGCUGAACACCAGGCACGUUGCCAAUGACUCAAUUGGGAUUUGCUCGAAAUGCAGUGAAUGUUGCAACGUCUUACCUCGCUGACAAUAGCCGGUUUCCGCCGGGGUGGCGACUGCGAAGAUGAUGAAUCCGAAAGAGACCCCGUGAGCCCUCACUGUUGAGAUAUCAUACGAAGACCAGAGUGUGGAUGAGGGCUUGAAGACCGCGACAGAGCAUUGAACCAGCAGGAUUCAAGGAAACUCUGCCCUGCUGAUAAUAAUAACUAUACAGCAGACGCUGAUUAAGAAUCGGAUUUGGAUGCAUCAUCACUGGCAAUGUCCAACACAGCAUUGGCCCUUUUGUGACUAUGAUAUUGAUAUUCACCAUAUGGUAACCUGCCUACACUACAAAUAUGAUCAGAAGCUCGUUCCACCCUGAAACUUUACAACGAUAUUCUAG
Molecule: small RNA, 518 nt
Filed under: Histoplasma capsulatum
Lineage: Eukaryota; Fungi; Ascomycota; Eurotiomycetes; Onygenales; Ajellomycetaceae
Also listed under: 1 other name
Description: hypothetical RNA
Source: RNAcentral